The sequence is a small nucleolar RNA, 103 nucleotides long. It matches the Rfam family "Small nucleolar RNA snR60/Z15/Z230/Z193/J17". From Rfam's summary of the family: The members of this family belong to the C/D class of snoRNAs which contain the C (UGAUGA) and D (CUGA) box motifs. Most of the members of the box C/D family function in directing site-specific 2'-O-methylation of substrate RNAs.
AAUAAUUUAAUGAUGAUAAAAUACAGUGCAUAGUUCAACUGAUUAAUUUUAAAGUGAAGAAAUCAAACAUCGAAUUUAGUCUUUCGCUCCUAUCUGAAUUAUU